RNAcentral lists this ribosomal RNA (440 nucleotides) under uncultured bacterium. RNAcentral describes it as "partial 16S ribosomal RNA". It matches the Rfam family "Bacterial small subunit ribosomal RNA", at positions 338 to 795 of the family's 1533-position model. The record is from RNAcentral.
CCUACGGGUGGCAGCAGUGGGGAAUAUUGCACAAUGGGGGUAACGCUGAUGCAGCGACGCCGCGUGAGUGAGGAAGGAUCUCGGUAUUGAAAGCUCUAUCAGCAGGGAAGAAAAUGACGGUACCUGACUAAGAAUCCCCGGCUAACUACGUUCCAGCAGCCGCAGUAAUACGUAGGGGGCAGGGGUUAUACGGAUUUACUGGGUGUAAAGGGAGCGUAGACGGUUAAUCAAGUGAGAAGUGAAAACCCAGGGCUCAACCUUGGGACUGCUGUGGAAACUGGGUAGCUUGAGUGCAGGGGAGGUAAGCGGAAUUCGUGGUGUAGCGGUGAAAUGCGUAGAUAUUAGGAGGAACCCCAGUGGCGAAGGCAGCUUACUGGAGUGUAACUGACGUUGAGGCUCGAAAGCGCGGGGAGCAAACAGGAUUAGAUACCCUAGUAGUC